GGAAGCGUAUCGAAGUGGUCAUAACGGGCCUGACUCGAAAUCAGGUGUACGGCAACGUACCGUGGGUUCGAAUCCCACCGCUUCCGCCA
RNAcentral lists this transfer RNA (89 nucleotides) under Clostridium sp. RNAcentral describes it as "tRNA-Ser". It matches the Rfam family "tRNA". From Rfam's summary of the family: Transfer RNA (tRNA) molecules are approximately 80 nucleotides in length. Their secondary structure includes four short double-helical elements and three loops (D, anti-codon, and T loops). The record is from RNAcentral. RNAcentral also lists the same sequence under 1 other name. Lineage: Bacteria; Bacillati; Bacillota; Clostridia; Eubacteriales; Clostridiaceae.